ACGAGUUGGGAUCCCAGACUGAAGGGUACUUGCAUAAUAGAUCAGGAGUUUGGGAGCUUCUCCAGGUUUCUGUUGGUACCAGGCUAGGUAGUUGCCAUCGCUAUCACUGUACACUGCGCUGCUGACUUUACAGCUCAGAGCGACUGUGUCUCCUGGGAGAACAGAUUUCACUGCUGGAGUCUGAGUCACAGUAUACUGUCCA
Long non-coding RNA from Polyodon spathula (Mississippi paddlefish), 202 nucleotides. RefSeq lists it as uncharacterized. The transcript has 2 exons. NCBI's taxonomy places the organism in Eukaryota, Metazoa, Chordata, Actinopteri, Acipenseriformes, Polyodontidae. The record is from RefSeq and is a predicted model, not a curated record.